Long non-coding RNA from Dendrobium catenatum, 710 nucleotides. RefSeq lists it as uncharacterized. Lineage: Eukaryota; Viridiplantae; Streptophyta; Magnoliopsida; Asparagales; Orchidaceae. The record is from RefSeq and is a predicted model, not a curated record. The transcript is spliced from 2 exons.
AAAGUUUUCUAAAUCAGAGCUAACCAUUGGCCACAACAAGGACUAUUUUCAUGCAUGGCAAUGAUAUUCUCUGUAUGAGAUAUAGUUGUCUUCCAUUAACUUUUUCUUCCUUCUCUCGUCUUUCACUCUCUUUAAAACCCCUUCUCUCUUACAUCUCCGCCUCCCUCGAUCUCUCCCUUUCGUUCUUCAGAAUAAGAGUACUUUCAAGAAGAGAAGAAGGCAAGAAAGGGAGGAGAUAAUGGUGUUCUUAAAAAGCUUGUGUUGUGGAAGGAGGAAGAGGUUUUCUUUUAUGAAAUCUCCUCAUGACUAAUAAUAGCCUGGUGCUAUCCUGUCUGAGCUUUAUUUAGGUUGUAUUUUUAUAUAUUUUUUGUAUGUUUUGUCGUAUAUUUCUUCUUGCCACACCAUUCAUCUUCUGCUCUAGUAUUUUUUUCUGGUCCGCUCCCUUCUUGACCUUGUAAGACCUUUUCUUGACCUUGUAAGACCCCACUCAUCAAUUUUUUUCUUCGAUCUUUGCUCUUACGUGCUAUAAGAGCUUUCUCUGUGUUCUUCUCCUCUUCCCCCUUCUAUCCCUCCUGAGCUAAUGAGGACUUGUUGAUUGAAUAAUGAAAGAAAUGAACUUUGUGUUCAUUAAGCUAAUUAAGUGAGAUCUUUAUCCUUUUGGAAUCUGAUUAUUGUAUUUUGUUUGAUAGGCUAUAAGUCUUUUUGUAAUA